RNAcentral lists this ribosomal RNA (1050 nucleotides) under Staphylococcus epidermidis. RNAcentral's name for it is "bacterial SSU rRNA". It matches the Rfam family "Bacterial small subunit ribosomal RNA", at positions 124 to 1160 of the family's 1533-position model. The record is from RNAcentral. Lineage: Bacteria; Bacillati; Bacillota; Bacilli; Caryophanales; Staphylococcaceae.
ACCUACCUAUAAGACUGGGAUAACUUCGGGAAACCGGAGCUAAUACCGGAUAAUAUAUUGAACCGCAUGGUUCAAUAGUGAAAGACGGUUUUGCUGUCACUUAUAGAUGGAUCCGCGCCGCAUUAGCUAGUUGGUAAGGUAACGGCUUACCAAGGCAACGAUGCGUAGCCGACCUGAGAGGGUGAUCGGCCACACUGGAACUGAGACACGGUCCAGACUCCUACGGGAGGCAGCAGUAGGGAAUCUUCCGCAAUGGGCGAAAGCCUGACGGAGCAACGCCGCGUGAGUGAUGAAGGUCUUCGGAUCGUAAAACUCUGUUAUUAGGGAAGAACAAAUGUGUAAGUAACUAUGCACGUCUUGACGGUACCUAAUCAGAAAGCCACGGCUAACUACGUGCCAGCAGCCGCGGUAAUACGUAGGUGGCAAGCGUUAUCCGGAAUUAUUGGGCGUAAAGCGCGCGUAGGCGGUUUUUUAAGUCUGAUGUGAAAGCCCACGGCUCAACCGUGGAGGGUCAUUGGAAACUGGAAAACUUGAGUGCAGAAGAGGAAAGUGGAAUUCCAUGUGUAGCGGUGAAAUGCGCAGAGAUAUGGAGGAACACCAGUGGCGAAGGCGACUUUCUGGUCUGUAACUGACGCUGAUGUGCGAAAGCGUGGGGAUCAAACAGGAUUAGAUACCCUGGUAGUCCACGCCGUACACGAUGAGUGCUAAGUGUUAGGGGGUUUCCGCGCCUUAGUGCUGCAGCUAACGCAUUAAGCACUCCGCCUGGGGAGUACGACCGCAAGGUUGAAACUCAAAGGAAUUGACGGGGACCCGCACAAGCGGUGGAACAUGUGGUUUAAUUCGAAGCAACGCGAAGAACCUUACCAAAUCUUGACAUCCUCUGACCCCUCUAGAGAUAGAGUUUUCCCCUUCGGGGGACAGAGUGACAGGUGGUGCAUGGUUGUCGUCAGCUCGUGUCGUGAGAUGUUGGGUUAAGUCCCGCAACGAGCGCAACCCUUAAGCUUAGUUGCCAUCAUUAAGUUGGGCACUCUAAGUUGACUGCCGGUGACA